RNAcentral lists this ribosomal RNA (393 nucleotides) under uncultured Sphingobacteriales bacterium. RNAcentral describes it as "bacterial SSU rRNA". It matches the Rfam family "Bacterial small subunit ribosomal RNA", at positions 989 to 1382 of the family's 1533-position model. The record is from RNAcentral. Lineage: Bacteria; Pseudomonadati; Bacteroidota; Sphingobacteriia; Sphingobacteriales.
UUGACUCGUAAGGUGAAAGACUUACAUCUCUUCGGAGCAUUUUACGAGGUGCUGCAUGGUUGUCGUCAGCUCGUGCCGUGAGGUGUCGGGUUAAGGUCCCAUAACGAGCGCAACCCCUACCUUAGUUGCCAUCAGGUUAAGCUGGGGACUCUAAAGGAACUGCCUACGCAAGUAGUGAGGAAGGCGGGGAUGACGUCAAAUCAGCACGGCCCUUACGUCCAGGGCUACACACGUGCUACAAUGGCCGAUACAGAGGGCAGCUACCUGGUGACAGGAUGCAAAUCUCCAAAGUCGGUCUCAGUUCGGAUCGGAGUCUGCAACCCGACUCCGUGAAGUUGGAUUCGCUAGUAAUCGCGCAUCAGCCAUGGCGCGGUGAAUACGUUCCCGGGCCUU